Molecule: transfer RNA, 67 nt
Filed under: Teredorus hainanensis
Lineage: Eukaryota; Metazoa; Arthropoda; Insecta; Orthoptera; Tetrigidae
Description: tRNA-Lys
Rfam family: tRNA
About the family: Transfer RNA (tRNA) molecules are approximately 80 nucleotides in length.
Source: RNAcentral
CAUUAGAUGGCUGAAAAUUAAGCAAUGGUCUCUUAAACCAAAAUAUAGUAAAAUUUACUUCUAAUGA